RNAcentral lists this unclassified non-coding RNA (91 nucleotides) under Pseudomonas thivervalensis. The record is from RNAcentral. Lineage: Bacteria; Pseudomonadati; Pseudomonadota; Gammaproteobacteria; Pseudomonadales; Pseudomonadaceae.
UGUGAGAGCGAGCUUGCUCGCGAUAGCGGUGGUUCAGUUUGCAUUCAUGUUGGAUGUACCACCGCCAAUCGCGAGCAAGCUCGCUCCCACA